This 321-nucleotide ribosomal RNA is filed under the name Triticum aestivum (bread wheat). RNAcentral describes it as "partial small subunit ribosomal RNA". The record is from RNAcentral. Lineage: Eukaryota; Viridiplantae; Streptophyta; Magnoliopsida; Poales; Poaceae.
AUGCUGAGGAAUCCAAUUUCUUUGAGUGAUUUGAAUGUCUCUAAAACUUUUGACCUUCCUCCACUAAAUGAUGAUAGCAUGCGGAGAGCUAUAUAUGGCGAUCGCCGAUCUUCCUACACGAUCUUUUUCCAGAGAAGAGGUGGAGCUGAUUUUAAGUUUGAUUCUCGGUUUGAUGAUUUGGAAUAUGUUCGCCAAAAGUGUGAUAGAAGGACCUUGAGAAAUUUUAUGCAUUUCCAACUCUCUUCCUUGUGCAAUUCUCCGAGUUGCUUCUCAAGUAUCCUUUUUGUUCUUCAUGUUUUCUCAUUAGCUAGAAGCCUAUAA